UAAGGAAUAUUGGUCAAUGGACGAAAGUCUGAACCAGCCAUGCCGCGUGAAGGAUUAAGGCCCUCUGGGUUGUAAACUUCUUUUAUAUGGGACGAAAAAAGGGUAUUCUUACUCACUUGACGGUACCAUAGGAAUAAGCACCGGCUAACUCCGUGCCAGCAGCCGCGGUAAUACGGAGGGUGCAAGCGUUAUCCGGAUUUACUGGGUUUAAAGGGUGCGUAGGUGGGCAGGUAAGUCAGUGGUGAAAUCUCCGGGCUUAACCCGGAAACUGCCAUUGAUACUAUCUGUCUUGAAUAUCCUGGAGGUGAGCGGAAUAUGUCAUGUAGCGGUGAAAUGCUUAGAUAUGACAUAGAACACCAAUUGCGAAGGCAGCUCACUACGGGAUUAUUGACACUGAGGCACGAAAGCGUGGGGAUCAAACAGGAUUAGAUACCCUGGUAGUCCACGCCCUAAACGAUGGAUACUCGACAUCAGCGAUACACUGUUGGUGUCUGAGCGAAAGCAUUAAGUAUCCCACCUGGGAAGUACGAUCGCAAGAUUG
RNAcentral lists this ribosomal RNA (541 nucleotides) under uncultured prokaryote. RNAcentral's name for it is "bacterial SSU rRNA". It matches the Rfam family "Bacterial small subunit ribosomal RNA", at positions 355 to 896 of the family's 1533-position model. The record is from RNAcentral.